This 1530-nucleotide ribosomal RNA is filed under the name human gut metagenome. Its description in RNAcentral is "bacterial LSU rRNA". It matches the Rfam family "Bacterial large subunit ribosomal RNA", at positions 993 to 2539 of the family's 2925-position model. The record is from RNAcentral.
GAGAGAUAAGUUCCGCGGUCAAAAGGGGAACACCCCAGAUCGUCUGCUAAGGUCCCCAAGUACGCGUUAAGUGGGAAAGGAUGUUGGAUUGCACAGACAACCAGGAUGUUGGCUUAGAAGCAGCCACACAUUCAAAGAGUGCGUAAUAGCUCACUGGUCGAGUGAUCCAGCGCCGAAAAUGUAACGGGGCUAAAACGCGACACCGAAGCAGCGGGAUGCGUAAGCAUCGGUAGAGGAGCAUUGUGUGAGGAUAGAAGCCGGAGCGAGAGCACUGGUGGACUUCACAGAAGAGAGAAUGCCGGUAUGAGUAGCGAGACCCAUGCGAGAAACAUGGGCGUCGAAGGCCCAAGGUUUCCUGGGGAAGGUUCAUCCACCCAGGGUAAGUCGGGACCUAAGCCGAGGACUGAGGUCGUAGGCGAUGGACAGCAGGUAGAGAUUCCUGCACCACUUACACUUGUUUGACGAAGCAGUGACACAGAAGGAUAGGACGAGCGCGGUGAUGGUCAACCGCGUAGGCGGCACAAGGCUGGGGAGCAGUAAAGUACACUUCCCGGGAAGGCUGAGUGUUGACAGGACCGAAAAAGAGUAGGGAAGCGUCUGAGUUCACGCUGGCGAGAAAAGCUGCUAAGGAGAGUGUGAGUGCCCGUACCGGAAACCGACGCAGGUGGGCGAGGAGAGAAUCCUGAGACGGACGGGAGAACUCUUGUUAAGGAACUCGGCAAAAUGACCCCGUAACUUCGGGAGAAGGGGUGCCUCGAAAGAGGCCGCAGAGAAUAGUCACAAGCGACUGUUUAGCAAAAACACAGGUAUCUGCGAAAGCGAGAGCUGACGUAUAGGUGCUGACGCCUGCCCGGUGCUGGAAGGUUAAGGGGAAGUGUUAGGGGAAACCCGAAGCAGAGAACCGAAGCCCCAGUAAACGGCGGCCGUAACUAUAACGGUCCUAAGGUAGCGAAAUUCCUUGUCGGGUAAGUUCCGACCCGCACGAAUGGCGUAACGACUUGUGAGCUGUCUCAACAGGAGGCCCGGUGAAAUUGAAGUAUGUGUGAAGAUGCACAUUACCCGCGACUGGACGGAAAGACCCCGUAGAGCUUUACUGUAACCUGACAUUGGAUCUUGAUAACGGAUGCACAGGAUAGGUGGGACGCUGGGAGGUAUGGACUUUGGUCUGUACGGAGCGGACGUUGGGAUACCACUCUUCUGUUAUUGAGAUUCUAACCUCAAGCCGUAAGCCGGAUGAGAGACAGUGUCAGGCGGACAGUUUGACUGGGGCGGUCGCCUCCGAAAGAGUAACGGAGGCGCCCAAAGGUACCCUCAGAAUGGAUGGAAACCAUUCGAAGAGAGCAAAGUCAGAAGGGUGCUUGACUGCGAGACCAACAAGUCGAGCAGGUACGAAAGUAGGGCUUAGUGAUCCGGCGGUAAGAGAGUGGAAUUGCCGUCGCUCAACGGAUAAAAGCUACCUCGGGGAUAACAGGCUGAUCUCCCCCAAGAGUUCACAUCGACGGGGAGGUUUGGCACCUCGAUGUCGGCUCA